GGGAGCGGGGAGAGAGCGGAAGCGGAAACGCGCUGCUCCAGACCCCGCCCUGCUGGCGCGGUGAGCCGCUGCGGGCGGUCAUUUCCUUAGCAACUCGCCCCGCCCUCGGUGACAACGGCCCGCCCAACCGCCGCUCCCGCGAGACUGGUCGCCACACCCACCAACGGCCGCGGCCCGAGGGGGCGGCGGGAAGGAGCGGCCAUCUCUCUCCGCUGACCCUCCUUUGCUCUGCGCCUCUGGCCUCAGCAUUUUUUGCCAGAAGUCUCUUUUGUGUGGGGCCUAGAGCUUCCACUCGUGUCCUGCGGUGUUGUCAGCCCUGUCCCCUCCCUCUGUCCCUCCGCACGCCCUCAGCUUCCGACAAACCCCGCCGCGUUGGGUUGAAUUAAAGUUGACGAGCGUUUGUUCUGCGCCUCUGCGGUGUUUAGCCAGGCUCUGUGAGGCCUGUACUGACAAAGGAAAACGGUCCGUGAAAACAUUCGAGUUGAUACAGGGCACCAAGGGGCCAGUCCUUGGUGGUCCCUGUCCUACAGACUCUGCCUGUCUUUCCCUUGGAACGCCAGUGAAGCUAUGGGUCCAUAGCUUGUGUUGCUCCUGCUCUCCCACCUGAAUCAAAUGGGUACUUCCUUGUCCCAUGAGACUUCAAAGGUGAGGAGGACUGCCUCUCCAGAACUUGGUUUGCUCAUAGGUGAUCACAAAACUGGACCACACUGAGAGGUUCACCUGGUCCUCAUGCUUCAUUCAGAAAGCCAGAAAGGUCUGCUGUCUCACAGGCUGUACCAUGUAAAGGCAGAGCCUCCAAAUUCUGGGUGGCACUGGAGACUCCUGAUAUUGCAUUGGAGGAGGUAUUUCUUUUCCCUCAAGAAAAAGUAUAGUUUUUCUGAAGACAUUCCUGAGUGGAAAUAAACAGAAAAAAAGAAAAGAUCUUCCAACACCCUUGCCUGCCAUUGGCAACAGGACUUUAAGGUAUGGCACAGUUUGGAGAUUCUUGGGGUGGGGGGUGAGCCUGCAUUAUAAGAAAUCUGAGCAGCCACUUCUAGUGAUAGAUGGGUCUUGUAGAACUGAAGAACCUGAACAAAGGUUGUAUCCUUGAGAACAAAGUAAGAAGGUGUGAGCUUAGUGGUGGAGUGUGUGGGAUUAGCAUGUGCAAAACCCUAAUUCAAUCUCUCAUACCCCACCAACAGAAGAAAGACAUUUAUGGCCAUUGGGAUGAGGCAUGUGAGGAGCUUGGAAGAAGGGAUGUUGAGGCCCAGGACAGCAGUGGUCUAGAGCAAGAAUAGAUGCAAAAAUGAGAGUAACAUCCAGGGGCAACACAGUUAACCACUCUGUUCUAUUUGUUUUGUUUGAGACAGGGUUUCUCUGUGUGUGUAACAGUCCUAGCUGUCCUAACUAGCUCUGUAGACCAGGCUGGCCUUGAACUCACAGAGAUCCACCUGCCUCUAU
Long non-coding RNA from Mesocricetus auratus (golden hamster), 1440 nucleotides. RefSeq lists it as uncharacterized. The transcript is spliced from 3 exons. The record is from RefSeq and is a predicted model, not a curated record. NCBI's taxonomy places the organism in Eukaryota, Metazoa, Chordata, Mammalia, Rodentia, Cricetidae.